Myotis daubentonii (Daubenton's bat) is the source of this 777-nucleotide long non-coding RNA. RefSeq lists it as uncharacterized. NCBI's taxonomy places the organism in Eukaryota, Metazoa, Chordata, Mammalia, Chiroptera, Vespertilionidae. The record is from RefSeq and is a predicted model, not a curated record.
GGUGGGGGAGGGAGGCUAUAUAGGGAGCUGCUGGGAGCACAGCUCGCUCUUUUGCGUCUGGACUCGGGGCUUUGUCUUAUGUCUUUGGAACAAUGGCGCUCGGUGUAACGAAGCCGUUACGUGAAGAUGCUAAGAUGCAAAGGAAAAUUCCAAAACUUAUGGGAGAAUAUUUGCUGGAAAAUUACCUGGCUCAGACCUGAGGAUCUUGCCAGCAUCCUGGGAGUUGGUGAAUACUAAUGAGGCUGUGGCUGUCACUCGCUGUCAGAUUCAUUUUGAAUGAGAGGUCGCUGUCUGCCUGUUGAAAGGCCAGUUUGCUAUGACGUCUUUAAGCUGUAACCAUUUCUGUGUUACAAGAUUUACCUGCCUAUUGUAUGGAAAACUGGUGAUCUUCAUUUUAUGAACAUGGAAAGAAAACAUGCAGAUCAAGAUUAUCUGGAGUAUUUUUUAGUCAUGUCACACUGUCCUGGAGGCCCACAACCUGUUAACUAGUAGAUUACAUCCUAGCUCUGUUUCUAGGAGUGCAUGUCAAACUAUUUGUAAUGGAAUUUUUUCCCCCAGUUAAGGAGUCUUAUAAUCAAAUAAUUAAUUGGAUGAAUGUCUUACCUGUUGGUUAAGUAUUUAAAUGUAAAAUGUGUAAUUAAAGCUGUGUAAAAGUUUAUGUUGUUUAAUGGAGAUGAGAGCAAGAUGGAAAGACGGCCUUUAAUGGGGUUGGGGGUUUAAUGUAAUUUGAAAGAAUGUUUAAACUCAAAAAUGGAGAGUAAUGAUGAGAAUAAAGAG